Molecule: ribosomal RNA, 578 nt
Filed under: uncultured bacterium
Lineage: Bacteria
Description: bacterial SSU rRNA
Rfam family: Bacterial small subunit ribosomal RNA
Source: RNAcentral
AAUCAACGCUGGCGGCGUGCCUAACACAUGCAAGUCGCACGAGAAAGGGGCUUCGGCCCUGAGUAAAGUGGCGCACGGGUGAGUAACACGUGAAUCAUCUACCUCCGAAUGGGGAAUAACUGAGAGAAAUCUUAGCUAAUACCGCAUAAUACCUAAGGGUCAAAGCAGCAAUGCGUUUGGAGAGGAGUUCGCGGUCGAUUAGUUAGUUGACGGGGUAAUGGCCCACCAAGACGAUGAUCGAUAUCCGGCCUGAGAGGGCGCACGGACACACUGGAACUGAAACACGGUCCAGACUCCUACGGGAGGCAGCAGUGGGGAAUUUUGCGCAAUGGGGGAAACCCUGACGCAGCAACGCCGCGUGGAGGAUGAAAUAUCUUGGUAUGUAAACUCCUUUCGAUGGGGAAGAUAAUGACGGUACCCAUAGAAGAAGCCCCGGCUAACUUCGUGCCAGCAGCCGCGGUAAUACGAGGGGGGCAAGCGUUGUUCGGAAUUAUUGGGCGUAAAGGGUGCGUAGGCGGUUUGACAAGUCUUAUGUGAAAUCUUCGGGCUCAACCCGAAGUCUGCAUAGGAAACUGUCG